UUUUAGGUGUUUCUGCCCAGACCGUCCUCAUGCUUGGGACUGUAAACCUGACCCUCCAGCUACAGGAAAUAACAAAUUCAGAUUGAAGUUUGGAUUGGGAGCAGGUGCAGGCAUCGGAUUACUAGUAAUUUUGUCUCUUUAUUUUUUCCUCAGUUACCGUAAAAGAAAACCUGCUCCCUCUAACUUCCUGUCAAAAAAUUCCUAUUCUGUUCCCUCCUCAAAAUCAGAUCUAGAAUUGGGCGGCGCCUACUUUGGUGUCCCACUCUUCUCGUACACUGAACUUGAAGAAGCCACUAGUAAUUUUGACAGCAGAAAAGAGCUUGGAGAUGGAGGUUUUGGAACUGUGUAUUACGGUAAGCUCCGAGAUGGACGAGAGGUUGCAGUCAAGCGCUUGUAUGAGCAUAAUUACAGAAGGGUUGCACAGUUCAUGAAUGAAAUUGAAAUCCUUACACGCCUACGCCACAAAAAUCUUGUCACUCUUUAUGGAUGCACUUCUCGCCGCAGCCACGAUCUCCUCCUUGUAUAUGAAUACGUUCCCAAUGGUACGGUGGCUGAUCAUCUCCAUGGUGAUCGGGCAAAGUCCAGUCCACUGACAUGGCCUAUUCGAAUGAGCAUUGCAAUAGAAACAGCUAGCGCUUUGGUUUACCUACACGCUUCGGAUAUCAUACAUCGUGACGUCAAAACCACCAACAUUCUCCUUGACAACAAUUUCUGCGUGAAAGUUGCUGAUUUUGGUCUCUCAAGAUUGUUCCCUAAUGAUGUCACCCAUGUCUCAACUGCACCGCAAGGGACGCCAGGUUAUGUUGAUCCAGAGUAUCACCAAUGCUACCAGCUUACUGAUAAGAGUGAUGUCUAUAGUUUUGGAGUUGUGUUGAUUGAGCUGAUAUCAUCAAUGCCUGCUGUUGAUAUUAAUAGGCAUCGACAUGAGAUUAAUCUAGCUAACUUGGCGGUAAACAGGAUUCAAAAAUGUGAAUUUGAUGAGUUGAUUGAUCCAUCUUUUGGGUAUAAUUCUGAUGAAGAAGUUAAAACAAUGACAAUUACAGUGGCAGAGUUGGCAUUUCGAUGCUUGCAACAGGACAAGGAAAUGAGACCCACCAUGGAUGAAGUGUUGGAGGAAUUAAAGAGAAUUGAAAGUGCAGAAUUCAUGGAGAAUCCAGAGGAGAUUCAUGAUGAUAACAAGCCAUUGAGUGGUAUGCUGCCACCAUCUUCACCACCAGAUUGCGACGAUGCUUCGCUAUUGAAAAAUAUCCGAUCGCUGCCUUCACCAGAUACGGUAACUGCUAAAUGGGCUAGUAGUUGUUCCACUACACCUAAUGUUAGUGGUAAGAUUUUUUCCCUUUCUGCUGCUUAAUUUUCUAGGUGGGUGAUGACUGAUGAGGGCAUGAUCAACAUUCUAUUAGACGGAAACGAGUGGCAUAAUUGCUUCUGAUUUUACUUCCAUUUUGUUCUUCAUAGAGAUAAAUUGAAGGCACAGAAUCUGUAGGUAAAUUUGUAAGGGAGUGUAUAUAGUAAAUGAAGUAAGGAACUAGUUUAUACCAAUGUCCAUAUUCUGAAUCCCAUAUGAUAAACUCUUGCCUUCUUUUGCUCUUUGCAAUCUUUGGUUGUGAUUAGGAACUCAAAAGUUUUAUAAACAGCAGGACAAUCUUGAUAUGUACGUGUAACAAUGAAGAAAUGUAAUUGAAGUGAAUUUAUCUCUGAUCAUAUAUAAUUGGCUC
RNAcentral lists this unclassified non-coding RNA (1715 nucleotides) under Hevea brasiliensis (rubber tree). Lineage: Eukaryota; Viridiplantae; Streptophyta; Magnoliopsida; Malpighiales; Euphorbiaceae. The record is from RNAcentral.